Molecule: transfer RNA, 85 nt
Filed under: Felis catus (domestic cat)
Lineage: Eukaryota; Metazoa; Chordata; Mammalia; Carnivora; Felidae
Rfam family: tRNA
About the family: Transfer RNA (tRNA) molecules are approximately 80 nucleotides in length.
Source: Rfam by way of RNAcentral
GCCUGGGUGGCUCAGUCGGUUAAGUGUCUGACUUCGGCUCAGGUCACGAUCUCAAGGUUCAUGGGUUUGAGUCCCACAUCAGGCU